UCUUUUGUUACAGGUUGGUGAGAAGUAAUCGCGGUUUUUGCCAUUACUGCUCAUGGCAAAAACUGUGAUUACUUUUGCACCAACCUAAUAUAAUAUUUGGUCUUCAAUUA
Homo sapiens (human) is the source of this 110-nucleotide non-coding RNA. NCBI's taxonomy places the organism in Eukaryota, Metazoa, Chordata, Mammalia, Primates, Hominidae. The record is from RefSeq and is marked provisional.